AGGACGAACGCUGGCGGCGUGCUUAACACAUGCAAGUCGAGCGGUAAGGCCUUUCGGGGUACACGAGCGGCGAACGGGUGAGUAACACGUGGGUGAUCCGCCCUGCACUUCGGGAUAAGCCUGGGAAACUGGGUCUAAUACCGGAUAUGACCUCCUACCGCAUGGUGGGUGGUGGAAAGAUUUAUCGGUGCAGGAUGGGCCCGCGGCCUAUCAGCUUGUUGGUGGGGUAAUGGCCUACCAAGGCGACGACGGGUAGCCGACCUGAGAGGGUGACCGGCCACGACUGGGACUGAGACACGGCCCAGACUCCUACGGGAGGCAGCAGUGGGGAAUAUUGCACAAUGGGCAAAGCCUGAUGCAGCGACGCCGCGUGAGGGAUGACGGCCUUCGGGUUGUAAACCUCUUUCAGCAGGACGAAGCGCAAGUGACGGUACUGCAGAAGAAGCACCGCAACUACGUGCCAGCAGCCGC
This 471-nucleotide ribosomal RNA is filed under the name uncultured soil bacterium. Its description in RNAcentral is "bacterial SSU rRNA". It matches the Rfam family "Bacterial small subunit ribosomal RNA", at positions 26 to 518 of the family's 1533-position model. The record is from RNAcentral.